RNAcentral lists this ribosomal RNA (253 nucleotides) under uncultured bacterium. RNAcentral describes it as "partial 16S ribosomal RNA". It matches the Rfam family "Bacterial small subunit ribosomal RNA", at positions 524 to 776 of the family's 1533-position model. The record is from RNAcentral.
UACGUAGGGGGCAAGCGUUGUCCGGAUUUAUUGGGCGUAAAGCGCACGCAGGCGGUCUGUUCAGUUUGGAGUGACAGUUCCUGGCUCAACCGGGAAAGUGCUUCGAAUACUGGCGGACUUGAGGGCUUCAGAGGGACACGGAAUUCCCGGUGUAGUGGUGAAAUGCGUAGAUAUCGGGAGGAACACCAGUGGCGAAGGCGACUACCUGGCCUGUUCUUGACGCUGAGGCGCGAAAGCCAGGGGAGCGAACGGG